Molecule: ribosomal RNA, 331 nt
Filed under: uncultured eukaryote
Lineage: Eukaryota
Description: partial 18S ribosomal RNA
Rfam family: Eukaryotic small subunit ribosomal RNA
Source: RNAcentral
CCCUUAGAUGUUCUGGGCCGCACGCGCGCUACACUGACGAAGUCAGCGAGCAUGUCCUACGCCGACAGGUGCAGGGAAUCUUGUCAAACUUCGUCGUGAUGGGGAUUGAUUAUUGAAAUUCUUGAUCAUCAACGAGGAAUUCCUAGUAAGCGCAAGUCAGCAGCUUGCGUUGAUUACGUCCCUGCCCUUUGUACACACCGCCCGUCGCUACUACCGAUUGAAUGGUUUAGUGAGAUCUUCGGAUUGGCGCCACUGCGGCUCAGCAAUGGGCUCGGUGGAUGCCGAAAAGUUGAUCAAACUUGAUCAUUUAGAGGAAGUAAAAGUCGUAACA